AGAGCAUAAUUUUGAAACUGAAAAAGCAGACCUGCUCCAGUUGGAGAAUCCCUGCCCUAAGUUACAGGAGACCUUAAGAUGUGAUAAAUUGGUGGUGCUUCAGCAUGCCCAAAUUCAGGUAAGGACAUCAGAAAGGGCGGCUGGGAGGAGACAGCGGUCAGGUCAGAGAGAGCCUCAGGACAGCAGCAACUGUGAGCUGAGCACCCCAGGGGGACUUUCUUCUGCAUCUGUGGUUCAUCUCUGCCUGUGCUGGUGAAGAAUAAAUCUGGAGCAAGUCUACAAGUGUCCACAGCUACCUUCUUGCUUCCAAACCAGUCUCUUCUUGUAUUUUUUGCCCUUCUCCUCAGCUCAGACCAUCCUCACAAGGCUUUGCACCACAGCCCAGACCAAGAACAAAACAAAGACAGUACCUGAAAUGUGAAACUUUCUGGUAUCUUGGAAGAAAUGAGUUUCUUUGUCGAAGACUGUGCAGCACAGUUGUAUGUUUCAUGAGUGAAAGAUACGGCUGGAUGUGUCUGGACAGAAGCUACACUGUACAGUGCUCCACUGAAAAAAUGGCUUUGCUGCUCGAGGCUCAGGUUAUAGGCUCCUAUUUUCAGCAAGCAUUAAAAAAUCGUUUAUAUGAAUGUCACAGAACCUCUUUUUAUGAGCUCAGCAUGGGACUGAAUGAAUUAUGAAUAGCAAUUCUCAAUGUCAUGGAAGUUACUGAAGCCAAUGAGACAUCUUUACUUGAAGGAAAACAAUGCUUGGCUACAGAAUAGCUCCAGCAGAAGCAAGAGCAGCGUGCUCACACCUCUGUGACCCUCAUACCCCACACCUCAAAGAGCCAAAAUUCAGCAUCUGUAAACCUCCCGUGUCUCAUCUGCAGAGGUGGCUUCCAGGGAAGCGUGCUUUGUCAGUGAGACAAUGUUUUCAUCGUGGGAUUCUCUCUUUGGGGUUGGAAUGAAUUCUGAAAGGCAUUUUGCUUGUUCAGGCCAGGGAGCUUCCAUCACUUGCAGUGCUGAUGAACACAGGCCACAUUCACUUGACCUGGCGGUGGCAUUUGGCUUCAUUUGAUCAGUUGGGUGAGCACCCUCGCCCUCCUGUGCAUAAGGUGGCCGGCCGGCGCCCACCCAGCCAGCCUGCUGGGGGCCUGAGCGCAGGAGGCUUUCUUUCCCAGAAUGGAAAUCAGUUUCUCAGAGGCACACCUGGUAUUCCUCAAAAUCCCAGCACUACCUCAUUGCCUCGCCAUAAAAUAGCUAAGUGCAACCGAGGAGCAAUUGUGCGGUGUCCUCCAGCCUACACAAACAGCCAUAACUCCGGUGCUCUCCAAGAAGAUGUUGGCACACUGGUGAGGUGUCCCUUGCUGCUGAUGGAUGGAGCAGCAGGUCCUCAAUGAAUCCCCACCCACCCACCACAGCCAGCCUGCAGACCUCCGCUGACGCUUCCCCUCGCUCAGCAAGCCCCAGGAGCUGCACAACUCUCGUUCAUCACAGUUUGGCAGACCUUCAGCCUUCUUCA
Cygnus olor (mute swan) is the source of this 1500-nucleotide long non-coding RNA. RefSeq lists it as uncharacterized. Lineage: Eukaryota; Metazoa; Chordata; Aves; Anseriformes; Anatidae. The transcript has 7 exons. The record is from RefSeq and is a predicted model, not a curated record.